Molecule: long non-coding RNA, 869 nt
Filed under: Ornithorhynchus anatinus (platypus)
Lineage: Eukaryota; Metazoa; Chordata; Mammalia; Monotremata; Ornithorhynchidae
Description: lncRNA (ENSOANG00000034130.2)
Source: RNAcentral
CUCAAGUUUCCAUUUGGGGUUUGUUCCCAGGAUAUUUUCAGUUGAAGCAAUCCUCAUCAACGGUAGGGAGGAAGACAUACCAAGCAAGGAGUGCCUCUCACUGCUCCAUCAUUAGAACCACUGCUAUGGAGAUGAGUGGAUAGGAAUCUUCCAAUUUCUAUUCUUUGUUUUCUUUGAUUCUUCAAGAUACAUUCUGCAUAUAGAAUUUUCCCCAAUGGUUUUUCCUUUCUAGAGAAAGAUUUGUCACCUGCUGAACCUCCCUUGAGCUGCUCAGAGAUCUAGGAGCUUUCCUGAACUGCCAGUAAUAGUGACUGUGAGCCUAAGUCCAUUGCUCCUGGUUCUAUGAUGUGUAUGAUAAGGGGUUCUUUUUUCUCCUCUGAAUGUCAAGCCUCGGAAAGGAUGAAGUACCCUGCUGAAUCUCAAGGUGGACUCAAAGGUGUCAAGUCUUAUGAUGGAGAGGUGGGGGUCUGGAGGACAAGGACUGACUUUCGUGAUGAAUCGGAAUGGAAACUGAAGUGUCGAGGUCCAGAGUAGAGACCAUAGUUCCACCUGGAACUGUUUCCAGAAUGCCGUGCCUGAGAAGCUUCAUGGAUCCUAAGCCUGCCCCACAGGAAGACCAGCUGCUUUCAAAUGAGUCCAGAAUAGUAGUUGCCCACUCUUUUCACAGUCACCAUCAGAGAAGCAGCCCCUCCUGUGCGUUCCAGGGUCUCUGUCUAAACCCUAUAAGACAGAGAAUGAUUUUUAAGGUCAAGGCUCAUUUCCAUUUCUCUUAUUGAGUAAGUUACCUCUAAACUGAGGGGAUGGUGGGAGGGGGUUACAGGCUGAGGAAGAUUAAUCCAUGUAAGGAGAUGGCCCAGAGACCAAUGAGG